CACGAGAGGCCCAAACGUUAUUCGGAAUUACUGGGCUUAAAGAGUUCGUAGGCGGCAUUGCAAGUAGGGUGUGAAAGCCCUCGGCUCAACCGAGGAAUUGCGCUCUAAACUGCAGUGCUUGAGGACCUAGAGGUGAGCAGAACAGAUGGUGGAGCGGUGAAAUGCGUUGAUAUCAUCUGGAAUACCGGAGGCGAAGGCGGCUCACUGGGAGUUUUCUGACGCUGAGGAACGAAAGCCAGGGUAGCGAACGGG
RNAcentral lists this ribosomal RNA (252 nucleotides) under uncultured bacterium. RNAcentral's name for it is "partial 16S ribosomal RNA". It matches the Rfam family "Bacterial small subunit ribosomal RNA", at positions 524 to 776 of the family's 1533-position model. The record is from RNAcentral.